CGGAGUGUAGCGCAGCCCGGUAGCGCGUCUGGUUUGGGACCAGAAUGUCGCAGGUUCGAAUCCUGCCACUCCGACCA
Molecule: transfer RNA, 77 nt
Filed under: Rhizobium laguerreae
Lineage: Bacteria; Pseudomonadati; Pseudomonadota; Alphaproteobacteria; Hyphomicrobiales; Rhizobiaceae
Description: tRNA-Pro
Rfam family: tRNA
About the family: Transfer RNA (tRNA) molecules are approximately 80 nucleotides in length. Their secondary structure includes four short double-helical elements and three loops (D, anti-codon, and T loops). Further hydrogen bonds mediate the characteristic L-shaped molecular structure. tRNAs have two regions of fundamental functional importance: the anti-codon, which is responsible for specific mRNA codon recognition, and the 3' end, to which the tRNAs corresponding amino acid is attached (by aminoacyl-tRNA synthetases). tRNAs cope with the degeneracy of the genetic code in two manners: having more than one tRNA (with a specific anti-codon) for a particular amino acid; and 'wobble' base-pairing, i.e. permitting non-standard base-pairing at the 3rd anti-codon position.
Source: RNAcentral